This 1506-nucleotide long non-coding RNA is filed under the name Struthio camelus australis. RNAcentral describes it as "lncRNA (ENSSCUG00000006764.1)". Lineage: Eukaryota; Metazoa; Chordata; Aves; Struthioniformes; Struthionidae. The record is from RNAcentral.
CCCCCUCCCCGAGGGGGCGGCCAAAAGCUGGGUUUCCUCUGUGGGAGCAGGAGAGCCUAAGCAACGCUUUGCUGCAGCAAGGAUCCUGGCGCUUCUUAUGCCGUUGUCGAGAAAGUGCUAGAAAUGCUCGGGGCUGAGCUUCCCCAGCAUCCGUGUCCCUCCCCGCUCCAGAGGCUUCAGUAAUGCUGCCUUCCAUAAUCUUUGUUACUUUAUAUUCUAGGGGGAUCAUAUUCCACAUGCACCUACAAUUCAGGUUUAGGCUACUGAUGGGUGAUGCAGGCCAGUGGGCUACAGGCAAACGUUUCCCCCCAGCAGAAGGGCCAGGCAGAGGCUGCUGCUGCAGACCCACAGUAAUACCGCUGGCCUUGGUGUUACAUCCGGGCAAAUGGCAUUGCCAGCGGGGUUUGGCUGCUGCCACAUUGCUAACAGCACGGGAAGCCACACGUUUCUGCAUGAACACCAGCCAAGCACCAGACCUUUGUUUAUCUUGAAAGCAUUUAUCUGCAUUUGUAUGCCUAAAAGGUCACAAAACCUUAGACCUAGCAGUAUGUGUAUUGUAUAAAGUAUGUGAUAGUUUUAAUACUCAACAUAAUCAUUAGAUACUCUUUUUUUUUAUUUUAACAGUAUUAUGAAACUGUCAUGAAAUAUGUCUGUCAGCUGAUUGCAUCUCUGCAGUUUGAAUCAACAGAUUCCUGGCUUCAUGUUCAAGUAGACCAACUGCCCAACAAAGUUAAUUUAAAAAAUAUUGGGCUUUUAAUCUUUUAUUCAAGAUUUGACAGCUUCACCAUUCAAUGUCUUUGGACUACAAUACCUCUUUCUGAACAAGGAAGCAAAACCAACCUAUCUGAAAUAUUAGAAAUAGCUGGAAUUCAAGCAGCCUUUCAGAUUUUGCUGAAUCUAACCCCUGAGCCAGUCCAAGUCCCUGUCUUCAUCUGCACUAUCUACACCUCCGUAGCAAAUACCUCACCUCUGCAGUGCAACUAAUGCUGGAAUCCGAAAGAAUCCCAGAUGCCCCUCUAUUGGCACGGCACAGUGGCACCGAGGGAAAGGUACGGACCACCUGCCAAAUGCCUCUUUACAUCAGCCACCUCCGUCCUCAGGAAUGAAACCUUGUCAGGGAAAGAGCAGAAAAUAAGCUGCUGCGGAGGGACCUAACUUCUUCACCAAGUGUGUUGUCACCUGUGUUUUCUUUCCAUGUCAGUAUGGCAGUGGUGUUAAUUAGGGGAAUGAGAGGAGCAAAUGAAGAAAUUGGCCUGCCUGCUGUUUGAUGAAGUUAGGGGGAGAGCUUUACCAGAAUGAAAUAGCAAAACCUAGUGUAUCCAUUGCAAAAAAAGGAGCUCUUCCUGCUUGCUUGAAAACAGAGGCACCCAUAGACAAGGCCUCCGGUAUGAAAGGGUUUUAUUGUGAAAUGUUGUAACUCCUCCAGUUCAGCAGCACAAACCAUCUUGCACUAUGUCUGGAGGUCUGUUUCUCUCUCAGGGUUUUUGAGGGGAGGGAAGGGCUGGG